RNAcentral lists this ribosomal RNA (349 nucleotides) under uncultured bacterium. RNAcentral's name for it is "bacterial SSU rRNA". It matches the Rfam family "Bacterial small subunit ribosomal RNA", at positions 1047 to 1397 of the family's 1533-position model. The record is from RNAcentral.
GGCUGUCGUCAGCUCGUGUCGUGAGAUGUUGGAUUAAGUCCCGCAACGAGCGCAACCCUCGUCCUUAGUUGCUAACAGUUCGGCUGAGAACUCUAAGGAGACUGCCUACGCAAGUAGGAAGAAGGUGAGGACGACGUCAAGUCAUCAUGGCCCUUACGUCCAGGGCUACACACGUGCUACAAUGGGGUAUACAAAGAGCAGCAAUACGGUGACGUGGAGCAAAUCUCAAAAAUAUCUCCCAGUUCGGAUUGUAGUCUGCAACUCGACUACAUGAAGUUGGAAUCGCUAGUAAUCGUAGAUCAGCUAUGCUACGGUGAAUACGUUCCCGGGUCUUGUACACACCGCCCGU